AAAAAAAUUAUUUAUGGUUUAAAAAUUUAUUAUAAAUUUAUUUUACAUAUAAAUUUUAGUGUUAAUUUUUAAUUUAUUUAAAUAAUAAUUAAUAUUUAUUUGUAGUAAUUAGAAUUAAAAAUUUAAGUAAUUAAGAUUUAGUAAUAUUUAAAUUAAUAACAAAUUUUGUGCCAGCAGUUGCGGUUAUACAAAAAUUAAAUUAAAUUUUUUUAGGGAUUAAUUAAUAAUAGAUUAUAUAAUAAAAUUAAAAUUUAAAUUAUUAAGUGAAAUUUUAAUUUAUGAAAAUUUUAUAUUGAAUUAUGAAUUAAAAAAUUUUAUUAAAAACUAGGAUUAGAUACCCUAUUAUUAAAAAUUUAAAUUAAUAAUACUAAAAUAGUAUAUAAUUAUUUAUAAAAACUUAAAUAAUUUGGCGGUAUUUUAGUUUAUUUAGAGGAAUCUGUUUAUUAAUUGAUAUUCCACGAAUAAAUUUACUUAAUUUAUUUAAUUUUGUAUAUCGUUGUUAAAAAAAUAUUUUAAAAUAAUAAUAAUAUUUUAAUUUUUAUAUUAAAAGUUAAAUCAGAUCAAGAUGCAGAUUAUAAUUAAGAAUAUAAUGGAUUACAAUAAAUUUAUUUAAUUGGAUGUUAUUUUUAAAAAUUAAUUGAAAUUGGAUUUAAAUGUAAUUUUAUUUAAUUUAUUAAAAUGAUUUUAAUUUAAAAUAUGUACAUAUUGCCCGUCGCUUUCAUUAAUAAAUUGAAAUAAGUCGUAACAAAGUAGAGGUACUGGAAAGUGUUUCUAGAAAGAGUA
This 783-nucleotide non-coding RNA is filed under the name Bombyx mori (domestic silkworm). Lineage: Eukaryota; Metazoa; Arthropoda; Insecta; Lepidoptera; Bombycidae. The record is from RNAcentral.